This 459-nucleotide unclassified non-coding RNA is filed under the name rhizosphere metagenome. RNAcentral's name for it is "partial ribosomal RNA internal transcribed spacer region". The record is from RNAcentral.
GUAGGUGAACCUGCGGAAGGAUCAUUAACACGUAUCCACGUUUAUCACCCGAGAAUUAUCUUAGGAUUAAACUUAUUCGAGUAAAGCCUGACGCGACUUCUCCGCUUUUCGAGGGACUUUCUUUUUUCCAGGUCAGCCGCUCUUCAAAAGUUCGCUUUUGAGGGUAUGUGGUUCAUGGAAAGAGGAGGGACCUUUGAGAGGGGGGGAAUGAGUGUUGAGCCUGGCCCCACUUAACUGUGUGGGCCAUUGAAUUCGUUUUCCUUUGUUUGUACACAUUUACUUUGUUUCCUUCCUUUCGGGGAAGAUGACUUCGUAACUGAGUACCAACAUACCCUUUGAGGACUUCGGUUCUCCUAGGGUAACGGUAAACCCCAUUUUUUCUCAACUAAAGGCCGUCUCUUUGUAGACCGCUUUUAACCGAAUGCUGUACAACUCUUAGCAACGGAUAUCUUGGUUCUG